UCUGGCGGCCAUGUUGUGCGGGGGGAGGGGAGGAAGGAGUUGAGAGAAGACGGGAGAGACAGACUCUCUCUCACACACACCGCACAAGAUGGCCGGGGAGGCAGCCGCAACCGGGCUCUCAGGUGGUUCGGCCGCCGCUCGGUUCGCCGGAGUUGGGGAGGCACCUGGGCACCGGCCUCGCGGGCCACUUCGGGCCCGGCACUCAGGGGUUCCGGGCAGACGGAGAGCGGCGAGCCGAGCUCCGUACGGGGCUGCGGACAGGCGGAGGGCGAUGGCGCCGGGCUCCGAAACUCCGUCGGCGCCUCGAACUCCGCGGGCGGGCGGGCGGCGAGCCGGACGCCGCCGCAGGCAGGGUGAGGAGGGGAACGGCUCUCCGCACCCCGGCCCGCCGCCGGUCUCCGCAUUGCUGAUAGAACUCCAUAAAUGUUUACCUACUUGAUGGCUGACUGGCUUCCAGACGGAUUGUAGAGAUCUAAUAUUUUAGGAUUGUACCUGGGUACUGUUUCUUGGCUGCAGUGGCUGAUCUAUUAAACCUGGAAUAAAAGGAAACGUUCAAAAUUCUAUAGUGUUCAUAUCAGAUGUGGUGAGGAAUGUGGUGAUCUCAGGAUGCACAAAAUAGCUGAUGUUGAUUGAAGCAUUGAGUCAAGUCAGAUGAAGAGUGUCAAAUGGAGUCUACGAAUGGGAAACCAAGAUGGCAGUUCCACUGUUGAUUGAGAGGUUGAGGAAAUGGACUAAUGAAUGAGUGCUGUGAUAUAUCCAUCCAAGACAGGGACACUUUAACAUGGACUUCAAUGUUACUAAACCAGAGAAGAUUUGGGUUUGUGAUCAUCCUACCAAAAUGGACUUGAAUUUCUGAAGGGUGUUGUACAAGUGUACAGAAAAUGGAUCUGUUUUUGAGGGAUGGGUGGCAAAAUUUUUAUACUCCAAGAAAUGUAUACUUAACAGGGGAAUGAAGUUGAUAUCAGGUAUAUACUACCUAUUUGGGCAAAAUGUAUUGUUAUGCUAUUUUUAAGUGAUGUGUUUAAUAAAUGUUUUUUUUACACUUUA
Long non-coding RNA from Terrapene triunguis (Three-toed box turtle), 1047 nucleotides. RefSeq lists it as uncharacterized. Lineage: Eukaryota; Metazoa; Chordata; Testudines; Emydidae. The transcript is spliced from 5 exons. The record is from RefSeq and is a predicted model, not a curated record.